Gadus morhua (Atlantic cod) is the source of this 748-nucleotide long non-coding RNA. RefSeq lists it as uncharacterized. The record is from RefSeq and is a predicted model, not a curated record. Lineage: Eukaryota; Metazoa; Chordata; Actinopteri; Gadiformes; Gadidae. The transcript has 2 exons.
AUUUUCCAUCACACAGCUCAGAGUCCUUCAGUGUUGAACUCAGGGGACUUUAAACCCUCUCAGAACCCCAGUUUCAGCUGAGCAUGCAAAGCUUCCUCUAUAUGGAAAUGACCUGUUUCCACUCAUCAGACGGGGGGUGAGUGUGACUGCAGACAUUCUUGGAGGACCGCUGUAUCUCUUCUACAUUCACACCAUUGGAAUAAAAUUUGAUUUGGUUGGGAGUGGUGCAGCCCACGCUGAGCGUCCUCCCUCCCUCCAGAGUGGAGCUGGAGCAGGGCAGUGCUACACUAGUGUGUGUGGCCAGUGGGGGCUUCCCCUCAGACUGGAAGCUUGGCUGGAAGGUGGGGGGCAGCAGCAGGUCUGGGGGGGUGUCAGAUAGCCUGGGGGUCCCGGGGAAAGAUGGCCACUACAGCUGGAGCAGCACCUUGACCCUCCCUGCAGACCAGUGGAGGAAGGCGGGCUCAGUGAGCUGUGAGGCCAGUAAGAAUGGCCAGACGCAGCCUGUCACUCAAACCCUGAAUCCUGGAGAGUGUUCAGAGUAGAGAGGCUCCAGCAUGGAGGUACUGGAGGAUACAGAUCUCCUCUGACACGUCUGCUCUAAGACUCUCUGUCUCAGGUGGCCCAGCAGCUUUUGUUGAUUUACAUUAAUAUAACUUGUGUUUGAUUCAUUAACAUGAUGCUCUCUGGAUUUUACCCGUUGCUUGUGUUGGUCGCUUGUUGAACAUUUAAUAAAGAUUUAAAGAAUAAA